GACGAACGCUGGCGGCGUGCUUAACACAUGCAAGUCGAACGGAAAGGCCCUGCUUUUGUGGGGUGCUCGAGUGGCGAACGGGUGAGUAACACGUGAGUAACCUGCCCUUGACCUUGGGAUAACUUCAGGAAACUGGGGCUAAUACCGGAUAGGAGCUCCUGCUGCAUGGUGGGGGUUGGAAAGUUUCGGCGGUUGGGGAUGGACUCGCGGCUUAUCAGCUUGUUGGUGGGGUAGUGGCUUACCAAGGCUUUGACGGGUAGCCGGCCUGAGAGGGUGACCGGCCACAUUGGGACUGAGAUACGGCCCAGACUCCUACGGGAGGCAGCAGUGGGGAAUAUUGCACAAUGGGCGGAAGCCUGAUGCAGCAACGCCGCGUGCGGGAUGAAGGCCUUCGGGUUGUAAACCGCUUUCGCCUGUGACGAAGCGUGAGUGACGGUAAUGGGUAAAGAAGCACCGGCUAACUACGUG
This 468-nucleotide ribosomal RNA is filed under the name uncultured bacterium. Its description in RNAcentral is "partial 16S ribosomal RNA". It matches the Rfam family "Bacterial small subunit ribosomal RNA", at positions 28 to 507 of the family's 1533-position model. The record is from RNAcentral.